AUUGAACGCUGGCGGCAUGCCUUACACAUGCAAGUCGAACGGCAGCACGGGUGCUUGCACCUGGUGGCGAGUGGCGAACGGGUGAGUAAUAUAUCGGAACGUACCUUAUUGUGGGGGAUAACGCAGCGAAAGCUGUGCUAAUACCGCAUAAUCCCUAAGGGGGCAAGCGGGGGACCGUAAGGCCUCGCGCAAUUAGAGCGGCCGAUACCUGAUUAGCUAGUUGGUGAGGUAAAGGCUCACCAAGGCAACGAUCAGUAGCUGGUCUGAGAGGACGAUCAGCCACACUGGGACUGAGACACGGCCCAGACUCCUACGGGAGGCAGCAGUGGGGAAUUUUGGAAAAUGGGGGCAACCCUGAUCCAGCAAUGCCGCGUGAGUGAAGAAGGCCUUCGGGUUGUAAAGCUCUUUUGUCAGGGAAGAAACAGCAGCUCUAACACAGUUUGCGAAUGACGGUACCUGAAGAAUAAGCACCGGCUAACUACGUGCCAGCAGCCGCGGUAA
This 501-nucleotide ribosomal RNA is filed under the name uncultured bacterium. RNAcentral's name for it is "partial 16S ribosomal RNA". It matches the Rfam family "Bacterial small subunit ribosomal RNA", at positions 30 to 523 of the family's 1533-position model. The record is from RNAcentral.